AACGAACGCUGGCGGCGUGGAUAAGACAUGCAAGUCGAACGCUAAUUUCAGGGUAGCAAUAUUCUGAGGUUGGAGUGGCGCAAGGGUGCGUAACACGUGGGUAAUUUGCCGUGAAGUUGGGGAUAACUCGCUGAAAGGCGAGCUAAUACCGAAUGUGAAAAUUGGGAGGCAUCUUCUGAUUUUCAAAGUUGGGGACCGCAAGGCCUGACGCUUCUCGAUAAGCCCGCGGCCAUCAGCUAGUUGGUGAGGUAAUGGCUCACCAAGGCUAAGACGGGUAGCUGGUCUGAGAGGACGACCAGUCACACUGGAACUGAGACACGGUCCAGACACCUACGGGUGGCAGCAGUCGAGUAAUUUUUCUCAAUGGGCGAAAGCCUGAAGGAGCGACGCCGCGUGGGGGAUGAAGGGCUUCGGCUCGU
This 419-nucleotide ribosomal RNA is filed under the name uncultured bacterium. RNAcentral describes it as "bacterial SSU rRNA". It matches the Rfam family "Bacterial small subunit ribosomal RNA", at positions 29 to 426 of the family's 1533-position model. The record is from RNAcentral.